Long non-coding RNA from Carassius gibelio (silver crucian carp), 2121 nucleotides. RefSeq lists it as uncharacterized. The record is from RefSeq and is a predicted model, not a curated record. The transcript is spliced from 7 exons. NCBI's taxonomy places the organism in Eukaryota, Metazoa, Chordata, Actinopteri, Cypriniformes, Cyprinidae.
CAGCACAUGUACGUCUGGCCGACGUCGGCCCAAUAUCGAAACGUCGGCCUCUAUACCUAAAACAUCUAUUAAACAUCGGCCUGGCGGAGGCCGAUAUAAUUUGGUCAGUGCUCUGUUCUCCAGCUCACCAAUCGUCGGCCCUGAGUUGGUUCACGACCGCGGGCCGAUGCCGCGCUUAUCUGUGUGCGCGUGCCCAGUAUUCGUCUCUUUUAGCCACCCAGAGAGAGAAGAGGAUAAUCCCAGCGACAUCUGUGGCUCUCAGGCUUCCGGAAAUAAUCCGGUGAAAUAUGGUGAGCUAUUGUUGCUGUUGCUUCUGAACUACAAAAUGAUUUUUAAAUUAAUUAUUGAAUGAUUAUUGAAUGAGACUGUACUUUAUAAAUGUAAUGUUUUAACUCUAGAUGUUUGUUUGUGUGAAUGCUGUGUGUGCGUUGAGUCCUGCGCGAGCGGGGAGCAGAGUUGCCAUGGAAACGGGGCGUCAACACAAAAACCGUUACUGGCAAGCAGUAAUCUCCGUCUCUCGCUGCGGUUUACACUGUUUUAGGAGGACAGAAAAAAGCUCUACAGAACAGAAGUGAAGCUCCAAGAUUUCAACAUUUCUGAAGGGAGAUACUGACUUAGAAAUACAGAUUGCUUGUUUUGUUCCUGGACUCUUCAGUGAUGAUGAGCAGAGUCUGAGUGAACCUGCUGUCAGACAGGUUGGCCUGACUGACGAUGCCAUCUUCCAAUCGCCGAUGGCUGAUAGACAUCACGAUGCUGCGCCGGAAACAGCGCCAUCAGCUCCAGUAUCUCGCCCGUGCAUCCGUUGUCAUGCGACAGAAGUCACGUUCUAUAGACAGUUUCUAUAGACAGUUUCUAUAGACAGUUGUGAGGGUGCUGACAGCUGGUUGCCCAGGCUAUGGAUUAAAGGUAAUACUGUUGGCCAGCAGAGCCCUGCUCACCCUGACGGCCCACCGCUGCUGUCAGACAACAUCUCCAAGAUGCUAUAAACUGCAGGACUAGAUCGCCAUCCCAAGGUUUCUAGAGUUACACCAGCUCCAGACUGAAUCCAGACUCACUUGUGAAGACUUCAGAUGACACCAACGCUCACAAAGACUACAACUGUACAUGAACACACAAAACAUUUGACACACAAAACAAAUAUUAUCCUUAUUUUGCCUAUAAGGGUAAAUUUGAUGAUUUUCAACCUGCUUUAUUGUAACGUCUCUUAUAUCUGUAAAUGAACAAUAUUUACUCUCUCUGAGUUAUGUGGACCUACAUGUCCCCUUUUAUUUGUAAGCAUCACUCUGCAGGAUGAUCCAAAAUGAAAUGACGAGUUUUGACGAAAUGACACAAUGCAGCAUCUAAAUGAAAACAUGCUGUUUUGCAUCAGUUUUGCUGGCAAAUAAACGGUAUCUUGGAGAAAGAAUAAACAUUGUUCUUUUACAAAUGUUACCAACAAUAUAACAAUACAAAAUGGAUUGAUUUUUUUUUUUACUUACCCUUUAAAAAUGUUGAAAGAUAAUGUUAAUGUUAACUGAAUACAAAACUAGAGACUUGUUUAGUAAGAUUUUAUCAGAAAAUAUUUUUGAAUUUUUAUCAUGCAAUUUAAAACAUUUUAAUUGCUUAAUUAUUGUUUGCCUGGUUUUAUUUUGUGUUUAUGUAACUCUUUUUAAAAAGUUCUUGGCAUAAAGUUCGCAUGCGAUGCUGACAGCUCUGAACACAUGACUUUUUAUUAUGAACUAGAUGGUCUUCCCAGUGAGUCUCAGUCAUCUCUGGCUUUUUAAACUGUAACCUUGAAACAUGCAUUUCUGUAAACCUACUUUGAAAUAAGUAUUGUGAAAAAAGUGCUAUACUCAUACAACAUUUAACCAGCAAGUACUGUAGGAAUUGUUAUGUUUUUACUAUGGUUUUAAUGCAAAAGCUGUAGUAAAAUCAUGGUGAUUGUAGUAAAACUAUGGUUGAUUUUGUUUUUUCUAUGGUUUUACUGCAAAAGCUGUGGUAAAAUCAUGCUUAAUUUUCAAAAGACUACAAAUAAUCCCGAAUUAUCCACUUUUGAUCAAAGCAUCUGGUAAAUGUUAAUGUAUUUGUACAUGUAAUAUGAAAUAAAUGAAAAUAUUAAUAAAGUUGCAUCUGUUCUUGAGA